CGGAGGUGCAAGCGUUAUCCGGAUUCACUGGGUUUAAAGGGUGCGUAGGUGGGCAGGUAAGUCAGUGGUGAAAUCUCCGGGCUUAACCCGGAACUGCCAUUGAUACUAUCUGUCUUGAAUACCGUGGAGGUGAGCGGAAUAUGUCAUGUAGCGGUGAAAUGCUUAGAUAUGACAUAGAACACCAAUUGCGAAGGCAGCUCACUACGCGAAUAUUGACACUGAGGCACGAAAGCGUGGGAUCAAACAGGAUU
RNAcentral lists this ribosomal RNA (251 nucleotides) under uncultured bacterium. RNAcentral's name for it is "partial 16S ribosomal RNA". It matches the Rfam family "Bacterial small subunit ribosomal RNA", at positions 527 to 779 of the family's 1533-position model. The record is from RNAcentral.